This 73-nucleotide transfer RNA is filed under the name Felis catus (domestic cat). It matches the Rfam family "tRNA". Rfam says of the family: Transfer RNA (tRNA) molecules are approximately 80 nucleotides in length. Their secondary structure includes four short double-helical elements and three loops (D, anti-codon, and T loops). Lineage: Eukaryota; Metazoa; Chordata; Mammalia; Carnivora; Felidae. The record is from Rfam by way of RNAcentral.
GUCUGGCUGGCUCGGUGGGUGGAGCAUGCGACUCUUGAUCUCAGGGUCGUGGGUUCGAGCCCCAUGUGGGGUG